UGACUCAGUUGGUAGAGCAUGGUGUUUGCAACGCCAGGGUUGUGGGUUCGACUCCCAC
RNAcentral lists this transfer RNA (58 nucleotides) under Salmo salar (Atlantic salmon). It matches the Rfam family "tRNA", at positions 8 to 63 of the family's 71-position model. Rfam says of the family: Transfer RNA (tRNA) molecules are approximately 80 nucleotides in length. Their secondary structure includes four short double-helical elements and three loops (D, anti-codon, and T loops). Further hydrogen bonds mediate the characteristic L-shaped molecular structure. tRNAs have two regions of fundamental functional importance: the anti-codon, which is responsible for specific mRNA codon recognition, and the 3' end, to which the tRNAs corresponding amino acid is attached (by aminoacyl-tRNA synthetases). tRNAs cope with the degeneracy of the genetic code in two manners: having more than one tRNA (with a specific anti-codon) for a particular amino acid; and 'wobble' base-pairing, i.e. permitting non-standard base-pairing at the 3rd anti-codon position. Lineage: Eukaryota; Metazoa; Chordata; Actinopteri; Salmoniformes; Salmonidae. The record is from Rfam by way of RNAcentral.